This 460-nucleotide ribosomal RNA is filed under the name uncultured bacterium. RNAcentral's name for it is "partial 16S ribosomal RNA". It matches the Rfam family "Bacterial small subunit ribosomal RNA", at positions 338 to 795 of the family's 1533-position model. The record is from RNAcentral.
CCUACGGGUGGCAGCAGUGAGGAAUAUUGGUCAAUGGGCGAGAGCCUGAACCAGCCAAGUCGCGUGAAUGAUGAAGGAUCUAUGGUUUGUAAACUUCUUUUAUAUGGGAAAAAAGUGAGGAACGUGUUCCUUUUUGUAUGUACCAUAUGAAUAAGCAUCGGCUAACUACGUGCCAGCGGCCGGGGUAAUACGGAGGUUGCGAGCGUUAUGCGGAUUUAUUGGGUUGAAAGGGUGCGUAGGUGGUUAAUUAAGUCAGCGGUGAAAGUUUGUGGCUCAACCAUCAAAUUGCAUUUGAAACUGGUUGACUUGAGUGUAUUGGAGGUAGGCGGAAUGCGUAGUGUAGCGGUGAAAUGCAUAGAUAUCACGAAGAACACCGAUUGCGAAGGCAGCUUACUAGACUAUAACUGACGUUGAAGCACGAAAGCGUGGGGAUCAAACAGGAUUAGAUACCCCAGUAGUC